This 440-nucleotide ribosomal RNA is filed under the name uncultured bacterium. RNAcentral's name for it is "partial 16S ribosomal RNA". It matches the Rfam family "Bacterial small subunit ribosomal RNA", at positions 338 to 795 of the family's 1533-position model. The record is from RNAcentral.
CCUACGGGAGGCCGCAGUGGGGAAUAUUGCACAAUGGGGGAAACCCUGAUGCAGCGACGCCGCGUGAGUGAAGAAGUAUUUCGGUACGUAAAGCUCUAUCAGCAGGGAAGAAAAUGACGGUACCUGACUAAGAAGCCCCGGCUAACUACGUGCCAGCAGCCGCGGUAAUACGUAGGGGGCAAGCGUUAUCCGGAUUUACUGGGUGUAAAGGGAGCGUAGACGGCAGCGCAAGUCUGGAGUGAAAUCCCAUGGCUUAACCAUGGAACUGCUUUGGAAACUGUGCAGCUAGAGUGCAGGAGAGGUAAGCGGAAUUCCUAGUGUAGCGGUGAAAUGCGUAGAUAUUAGGAGGAACACCAGUGGCGAAGGCGGCUUACUGGACUGUAACUGACGUUGAGGCUCGAAAGCGUGGGGAGCAAACAGGAUUAGAUACCCCAGUAGUC